UAGGGGAGAGAUCGACGCAAAAAACAACCCUGCGCUUCACUUGGAACUGACUUCGCAGUAACAAUGGCAACCCUGGUUACUACACACUCACAUUCUUGGAUGGAGACAAGAGCACUGAGAAAAAUGUCACCGAUACUGAAAUCAAAUUUGCUCACCUGACUCCAGGCAAAAAGUACACGUUAGAAGGGAAGGAGUGCUUUACAACAGUGCACUGUGACAUACUGACGACACUUGAAGAAUGGACGGAACCAGAGAAGCCACGAGUGCUGGAAAAGACAGAACUCCAGACAACAACAAGACAUCACCAUCACCAUCCAGCUGCCCGUCCUGCAGAACCCUCCAGGAAUGCACUGGAUAUUGUUGAGGAAAUACAGCGGCGGCGGCGACGAACAUCACACAAGGAAGCAAGACACUGAGGAGAAAGCACUGGUAAUGGUUCGCACGGAAAGGGAGAAGGAAAGGAAGGAGUCGCAGGCAAAGAGGAGGAAUAGUCGUUCCGCUGAUCCAGGCCAAAACGAUCACUCGUUGCGAAUUGUGGCAAAGAUCGAGGUGGUAAGUGUGUGUGUGUGUGUGUGUGUGUGUGUGUGUGUGUGUGUGUGUGUGUGUGUGUAGUUGACACUUUUCACUAUUUACUGAAGGGGAAACUGAGAACGGAGACUAGGACCACAAAAGACAGUAUACAUAUUUUUCCUAUUUCUAUUUGCAUUAGUACACUAAGCAUUACUAACUACUAAGUAGGAAUAUGAGGAUGACACGUGACUCGGACUAAGGCGAACAGAAUGUACACAGGUCAGUUGGAGAUUAAAGCUUCUAAAUCUACGUUCGUUAGAUAAACGUAGAGUAAGAGGUGAUCUGGUAGAGGUAUUUAAGUGGUAUAAAAAAUAUAACAAGGUGACGUUGACAAAUUCCUUAAGGCUAGUAAACUGGAAAGC
Long non-coding RNA from Scylla paramamosain (green mud crab), 932 nucleotides. RefSeq lists it as uncharacterized. The record is from RefSeq and is a predicted model, not a curated record. Lineage: Eukaryota; Metazoa; Arthropoda; Malacostraca; Decapoda; Portunidae. The transcript has 3 exons.